GAAGCUUUGCUCUGUCAACUCUGCUCUGGUUAGCUCUGCUCUGGACUUUUCCCUCUGCCUAUUUCUCACAGCUUCUUUGCUCCCUGCUGCUCAUCUUUGGUAUUCCACUUUGGUAUUCCAAGCAAAGCCACGUGUCCUGAUCUUAGGACCUUGCAUAUUUCACCCCUCAUCAGAGUUGAUAAAUCAUAUUGCUUCCAUGCAACAAUCACAACACGCUUGAUGGAAGAUGCCAAAAUUAUUUCCAAAAUUUGUUCUUUCUAAAAUAAUAAUCAUUCUAUAUUUAAAAUAGUGAAACCCGUUAUUAAAUUAGGAAACUAAUUUAAUACUUACCAUAGGUGUGUAGGAAGAAUCACGGCAGAUCGGGAAAUGGAGGUAUCAAAACAGAGAAGUUUUCGGUGGGGUGGGGGUCGACGACACAGUAGACGAACUCCAGGGCUCAGCGGUGACUCGGCGGCGGAUGAACCGCAAGCUCAGAGGCAACUAUUUCGUCGGAGUCUAGAAGAAGGAACGGCAACAGGUUAUAGGAAAAAUAAAUCUUAGGGCUCUUGUAUUAAUUGCUUUGAAUGGAGAAUUCUCAUGGGUUUAAGAAGUGGAAACAGAAUCGAACUAAUUAAGGAAUGGAAAAGGGAGUCAGAGAUGAGGCG
RNAcentral lists this long non-coding RNA (644 nucleotides) under Salvia miltiorrhiza (redroot sage). RNAcentral describes it as "long non-coding RNA (SMIL_LNC010469)". Lineage: Eukaryota; Viridiplantae; Streptophyta; Magnoliopsida; Lamiales; Lamiaceae. The record is from RNAcentral.